GCUUACCACCACACCGGCCUGAGUACGCCUGAUCUCGUCUGAUCUCGGAAGCUAAGCAGGGUCGGGCCUGGUUAGUACUUGGAUGGGAGACUUCCUGGGAAUACCAGGUGCUGUAAGCU
Oncorhynchus tshawytscha (Chinook salmon) is the source of this 119-nucleotide ribosomal RNA. The record is from Ensembl. NCBI's taxonomy places the organism in Eukaryota, Metazoa, Chordata, Actinopteri, Salmoniformes, Salmonidae.